AUGGCAAAACACUUUGGUUUGCUCUUGGUUCUUGCCUUUGUUCUUGUUGUGACGGCUGAAGAUUGUACCGUCGACCUAAAAGGGCUUAUUCGGGAGUGCAAACAAUAUGUGAUGUUUCCCGCGAGCCCAAAGAUAACUCCUUCGAGUGCAUGUUGUAGUGUGGUUCAGAAGGUCAAUUCACCGUGCCUGUGCUCCAAGGUCACCAAGGAGAUCGAGAAGGUGGUAUGCAUGGAUAAGGUUGUGUAUGUCGCUGAUUACUACAAGAAUCCACUCAAACCUGGCUCCGACUGUGGCAGUAAGUGUUAUAUUUUGAGCCACGUAUUAUGUACCACUAAUACUUGUCAUGAACUAUGCAUGACAUGCUUUUGUUUUCUAAUAUUUUCGCAGGUUACCAUGUCCCAUCUCAAAGACGAUAGAUGGAUGUUUCGUAUCUGGUAA
Molecule: ribosomal RNA, 438 nt
Filed under: Triticum aestivum (bread wheat)
Lineage: Eukaryota; Viridiplantae; Streptophyta; Magnoliopsida; Poales; Poaceae
Description: partial small subunit ribosomal RNA
Source: RNAcentral